This 505-nucleotide ribosomal RNA is filed under the name Carnobacterium divergens. Its description in RNAcentral is "bacterial SSU rRNA". It matches the Rfam family "Bacterial small subunit ribosomal RNA", at positions 324 to 821 of the family's 1533-position model. The record is from RNAcentral. Lineage: Bacteria; Bacillati; Bacillota; Bacilli; Lactobacillales; Carnobacteriaceae.
ACACGGCCCAGACUCCUACGGGAGGCAGCAGUAGGGAAUCUUCCGCAAUGGACGAAAGUCUGACGGAGCAAGGCCGCGUGAGUGAAGAAGGUUUUCGGAUCGUAAAACUCUGUUGUUAGAGAAGAACAAGGAUGAGAGUAACUGCUCAUCCCCUGACGGUAUCUAACCAGAAAGCCACGGCUAACUACGUGCCAGCAGCCGCGGUAAUACGUAGGUGGCAAGCGUUGUCCGGAUUUAUUGGGCGUAAAGCGAGCGCAGGCGGUUCUUUAAGUCUGAUGUGAAAGCCCCCGGCUCAACCGGGGAAGGUCAUUGGAAACUGGAGAACUUGAGUGCAGAAGAGGAGAGUGGAAUUCCAUGUGUAGCGGUGAAAUGCGUAGAUAUAUGGAGGAACACCAGUGGCGAAGGCGACUCUCUGGUCUGUAACUGACGCUGAGGCUCGAAAGCGUGGGGAGCAAACAGGAUUAGAUACCCUGGUAGUCCACGCCGUAAACGAUGAGUGCUAAGU